GAAUGCGAUACUUGGUGUGAUUGCAGAAUCCCGUGAACCAUCGAGUCUUUGAACGCAAGUUGCGCCCGAAGCCAUUAGGUUGAGGGCACGCCUGCCUGGGUGUCACACAUCGUUACCCUAAAGCAAAACGUCUCAUGUGCGUGUGCUGCAGGGUGGAAGCUGACCUCCCGUGGGGCACGACUCUCGCGGCUGGUUGAAAAUGGAGUUCACGGUUGAGAAUGCCGUGAUAAAAUGGUGGAUGAGCGUUGCUCGAGACCAAUCGCGUGCUACUCAGUUAAUUUUGGACUCUUUGACCCAGAUGCGUCCUCGGACGCUCCCAACGAGACCUCAGGUCAGGCGGGGCUACCCGCUGAGUUUAAGCAUAUCAAUAAGCGGAGGAA
Molecule: ribosomal RNA, 380 nt
Filed under: Mucuna monosperma
Lineage: Eukaryota; Viridiplantae; Streptophyta; Magnoliopsida; Fabales; Fabaceae
Description: eukaryotic LSU rRNA
Rfam family: 5.8S ribosomal RNA (bases 1-105)
Source: RNAcentral